GACCUCAUCUCAAAAACCAAAGUGCUUGUCUCUUAAGGAACUCCCGCCUCCAUAUUGAAUCUGCACAUGCCUGGAUGUGAGGGGGUUCUGGUGGCCCAGCAGUGAUGAACUGAGUCUGCCAGGAAAUCAGCUGGGUUCCUGCCUCUAGGUUCCUGCCUUGCUUGAAUUCGUGCCCUGAACUCCCUCCGUGAUGGAUUGUUACCUGGAAGUGUAAGAUGAAGCAAGACUGAAGCAUGGGAGAGCCUUGUCUACAUGACUGCUUUGGGAAGAAGCCGCAGUUGGAUCCAGCCCGUCCAGCUGCCCAGCUCAGCCAUAUGGAUACAGCCUUUCUGUUUUUGUGGUUGUUUUUCCAGCCA
Molecule: long non-coding RNA, 356 nt
Organism: Mus musculus (house mouse)
Lineage: Eukaryota; Metazoa; Chordata; Mammalia; Rodentia; Muridae
Product: predicted gene, 41745
Exons: 3
Source: RefSeq, a predicted model, not a curated record